UGCACAAAUACAAUAUACACUAUUUACUCUUCGAGUACCGGGUAUAAUAAAUUUAAACACGAACCGUAAACCCCAAAUGUAACUUUUAAUCCAUCUAUGCAAGUAUCAUAACUGAUGGUAUGUCUUAAUCUGUAAGACAGAACUGUGUGUAUGUGGUAAACGUACAUAUGUAUAGGCAUACGAACGUACAUAUGUAUAUCUCUAAAUAAUAUUAGUAUUUUAUUUUAGAGUUCGAUUGUUAGCAAUUUUGUGAGAUUCAAUAAACGAAGUCCAAGUU
Long non-coding RNA from Drosophila subobscura, 277 nucleotides. RefSeq lists it as uncharacterized. NCBI's taxonomy places the organism in Eukaryota, Metazoa, Arthropoda, Insecta, Diptera, Drosophilidae. The transcript is spliced from 2 exons. The record is from RefSeq and is a predicted model, not a curated record.